This 528-nucleotide ribosomal RNA is filed under the name Stenotrophomonas sp. IR40. RNAcentral describes it as "bacterial SSU rRNA". It matches the Rfam family "Bacterial small subunit ribosomal RNA", at positions 1 to 520 of the family's 1533-position model. RNAcentral also lists the same sequence under 5 other names. Lineage: Bacteria; Pseudomonadati; Pseudomonadota; Gammaproteobacteria; Lysobacterales; Lysobacteraceae. The record is from RNAcentral.
UGGAGAGUUUGAUCCUGGCUCAGAGUGAACGCUGGCGGUAGGCCUAACACAUGCAAGUCGAACGGCAGCACAGUAAGAGCUUGCUCUUAUGGGUGGCGAGUGGCGGACGGGUGAGGAAUACAUCGGAAUCUACUUUUUCGUGGGGGAUAACGUAGGGAAACUUACGCUAAUACCGCAUACGACCUACGGGUGAAAGCAGGGGAYCUUCGGRCCUUGCGCGAUUGAAUGAGCCGAUGUCGGAUUAGCUAGUUGGCGGGGUAAAGGCCCACCAAGGCGACGAUCCGUAGCUGGUCUGAGAGGAUGAUCAGCCACACUGGAACUGAGACACGGUCCAGACUCCUACGGGAGGCAGCAGUGGGGAAUAUUGGACAAUGGGCGCAAGCCUGAUCCAGCCAUACCGCGUGGGUGAAGAAGGCCUUCGGGUUGUAAAGCCCUUUUGUUGGGAAAGAAAUCCAGCCGGCUAAUACCUGGUUGGGAUGACGGUACCCAAAGAAUAAGCACCGGCUAACUUCGUGCCAGCAGCCGCGG